RNAcentral lists this ribosomal RNA (394 nucleotides) under uncultured bacterium. Its description in RNAcentral is "bacterial SSU rRNA". It matches the Rfam family "Bacterial small subunit ribosomal RNA", at positions 28 to 424 of the family's 1533-position model. The record is from RNAcentral.
GACGAACGCUGGCGGCGUGCUUAACACAUGCAAGUCGAGCGGUAAGGCCCUUUCGGGGGUACGACGAGCGGCGAACGGGUGAGUAACACGUGGGUGACCUGCCCUCAGCUCUGGGAUAAGCCUGGGAAACCGGGUCUAAUACUGGAUAUGACUCCAUGACGCAUGUUGUGGGGUGGAAAGCCUUGUGCGGCUGAGGAUAGGCCCGCGGCCUAUCAGCUUGUUGGUGGGGUGANGGCCUACCAAGGCGACGACGGGUAGCCGGCCUGAGAGGGCGACCGGCCACACUGGGACUGAGACACGGCCCAGACUCCUACGGGAGGCAGCAGUGGGGAAUCUUGCGCAAUGGGCGAAAGCCUGACGCAGCGACGCCGCGUGAGGGAUGACGGCCUCGGUU